Tripterygium wilfordii is the source of this 2507-nucleotide long non-coding RNA. RefSeq lists it as uncharacterized. NCBI's taxonomy places the organism in Eukaryota, Viridiplantae, Streptophyta, Magnoliopsida, Celastrales, Celastraceae. The transcript is spliced from 3 exons. The record is from RefSeq and is a predicted model, not a curated record.
GGGCUGAAGGCUUUAACCAUACAGAAUUCUCCGAAGUUUCUGUUCAGGUGAAGAUAGCGUGAUGGGUGGGGGAGACUGAUGAAAAUUCCUAUAAGCAGGGUAGGAGGAAGAAGACCAUGAGCAGGAAGGCCGAGAAACCAAAUUCAAGCCUCGACGGUAAUAAGUCGAGUAAAGGAAUUGCGAGGGCACCAAAUUCCUCAAAGCGCCACACAAUCCAUCGGAGCCGCAAGAAUUGGUUGUUCGGUGCGCUUUCUCAUUCGCUCAAAUUGAUUUCUUGAUUGGUUUAUGAUGGAAGUCUUUGCUCAAUUAAUGUCUUAAUGAUAUGUAGUUAGGGUUUUAUAUUGCGACUGGUAUAGGCAUGUUUUAUGACUUUAGAAGGAAAACCUUGUAGGAAGCAGGUUGAUCUUGAAACGGCCAAGCUUUUUAAUUUCUUUUAAAUGUUUCAAAUACCCAACAAACUGUAAACAUCCCAAUAGAACUUGACCAAAUGGAAUGGAGGAGGCUAUGGUUGACCAACUUCUCCCCCCCUUACUCACCCAGAAAGCAUUUAUUCACCAAACACCACUUCUUUUAUGUAAGCUAUGAAUACAUAGUUUCCUCUCCCAAGAUGCUUCCCAUAUGAGAUAAGUAACUUAUGGAGGUGAGUUUUGUUUCCCAAUCCAUCUCUACAAUAAUUUCUUCCAGUGGCUUCAAUAUCCUUCUAGAGCAUCCCACAAUGAAAUUUUAACUUCAAACAGUCAUUUUCUAGUAGGCUUCUAGAUAAUGCGGUAUUUUGUUUGAGAAUUUACACUUUAGCUUCUGCUGCACCCUUUUGAACUUGUUGGGGUCUAAGCGCCAAAGAGAACAAGUGCAACAGCAUGGUGAAAAAAUUGACAAACCUGGCGCUAGUGAUAUCCCAACCCAAAAAGGCAAGAAGAGGAAAGAACAAGAAUCAUGGUGGGUCAGAGAGUGCUCCAUCAUAAAGAGAAUAGCAAAGCGCCGGAGCCCAUCGGCAACAAUUACAGUCCAUCAAAAUCGGCUGACAAAAAGGGGAAAAAACUACACGGAAAGGAUAUUAUGGAAAAGGUUCAAACAAAAAGAUGAAAGCAUGAAGAUAUGAGUGAGUGACCUACUUCUCACUUUCUUAUACCUGACUGAAGCUUCGGAGACCAACUUAACUAGAUAAGUUAUGUCUGUUGUAAAACAAUUGCCAUUUGUUGUCUUUAUAUGUAUUUCUUAUUGUCGAGUCUUUUUGAAUUGAGAGCUGAGAACAUUCUCAUUCAACUUUUAAUUUAGAACAGUUUAUGCAAACAAACUGCUGGAAACCAUCUUUUGCAUUAAUGCAGAACUGAGAAUUUACAUUUGACAGCUGAACCAGGAAAUUGAUUUCCUCAUGAAGCAAGAAAUUGUGUUUCAUAUUUUCAUUCAAAAGAGCAAUACAUGUGUCUCUGAAGCGAAAACUAUCCUACACGAGCAAACGGUAUAGUACUAAACGAAUAAGGAAUAAUACAACGGUGUUGCAGCAUCAUUUGCAUCUUCUACUUCCUUCAGCCUUGCAAUCGAGGGUGCAACCUGGCACAAAAACAGGGUAUGUAAAUCAACUAUGGGAAUGCUGCAAACCUUGAGAAGACUGCAAACUGUUUUUAGCAGAAGUUACUUGUUCUGUAUGGGAUUUGAAAAACUUGGAGAUGAAUCCAUGGUUGAUGUUGAGGAAGACCCUUGAACAAGUGGACGGCCUGCGGCUUGAGUUUUGCCAAGCGAGCUAGACAGAAGUAGUGAAAGAAGAAGAACUAGAGCAGCAAAUGAUAUCCAGUAGGCCUUCAUGAAGCUUUGUUAGCAAAAAUGGCUUUGAAGCUGCUGAUCAAGUGUGCUGGUUCAAAUUACCGAAAGGGCACUUGCUGCAUGUGCUUUGCUAAUUGCUUGUGUGAGUUUAAAAGACCAAAAGUAUUCAGAAAGACUAUAAAACUAUGUACAAUUCCUUGAUAUUAGAGCUUCAGAUUUCACAUUUGCUAGGUCUCUAUCUACUACUCUCACAACUAUUGCCAGCUUGCUCUUUUACAUAAAUAAAUGCAAAAUGUUAUUAUUUAAUGUAGUAGACAUGAAAUAAACAACAGUAAAAAAAAAAACUAUGUAACAUUAGCAUGGGAGAAUCCUAUGUUAUGAAUGAUUUUUGAGGGUAUAUGUGUUGUUUUAAUGAAUAUUUUUUAGGAGGAUAUUGGGAUCAUGUGAUUGAUCACUAGUUUCUUUAUUCAGUACUAGACAGGAAAAAUAUAAAAUAGAAUGGUAGAAAAUAGGGCUGUAAUUCGGGCCAGCGGCCUGGCCCAACACCUCUUAGCGGGCUGGGUCGGGGUUUAUGGCUUUGAUCUGUUCUUGGAAGAACUGUUAAAUUUCCAUCUUGAUCAGGAGAGGAAUAAGAUCGUAUGAUACUAAUUGAGAGUGUUAUUCGGUUAUGGCUUUGAUAAGUUCUUGGAAGAAGUAGAGAGCACGCGAGACAAGUAACUUUCAAUGAUAGGGCUACUAUUAUGCUG